GAUGAAGAACGUAGCGAAAUGCGAUAAGUAAUGUGAAUUGCAGAAUUCAGUGAAUCAUCGAAUCUUUGAACGCACAUUGCGCCCGCCAGCACUCUGGCGGGCAUGCCUGUUCGAGCGUCAUUUCAACCAUCAAGCCCCCAGGGGCUUGUGCUGGGGCCCUGCGGCUGCCCGCAGGCCCUGAAAACCAGUGGCGGGCUCGCUAGUCACACCGAGCGCAGUAGCACAUCUCGCUCAGGGCGUGCGGCGGGCUCCUGCCGUGAAACCCCCCACUGUAACCCCAAAGGUUGACCUCGGAUCAGGUAGGAAUACCCGCUGAACUUAAGCAUAUCAUAGCGGAGGA
This 340-nucleotide unclassified non-coding RNA is filed under the name soil metagenome. RNAcentral's name for it is "partial contains 5.8S ribosomal RNA, internal transcribed spacer 2, and large subunit ribosomal RNA". The stretch from base 1 to 120 matches the Rfam family "5.8S ribosomal RNA", at positions 35 to 154 of the family's 154-position model. The record is from RNAcentral.